This 355-nucleotide unclassified non-coding RNA is filed under the name soil metagenome. Its description in RNAcentral is "partial contains 5.8S ribosomal RNA, internal transcribed spacer 2, and large subunit ribosomal RNA". The stretch from base 1 to 120 matches the Rfam family "5.8S ribosomal RNA", at positions 35 to 154 of the family's 154-position model. The record is from RNAcentral.
GAUGAAGAACGCAGCGAAAUGCGAUAAGUAGUGUGAAUUGCAGAAUUCAGUGAAUCAUCGAAUCUUUGAACGCACAUUGCGCCUUCUAGUAUUCUGGGAGGCAUGCCUGUUUGAGCGUCAUUAAACCUCUCUCAAGUAUGAUUACUUGGAUGUGAAGGAAGAGUACCUUAAACUUAAGGAGUGUUCUCCUUUGAAAUUGAUUAGCAGAUGGUAAUGUUAUUAAAUCCCUGAUGUUGUAAGAAAUAACAGUGGUUUUGUAGACUAUUAUCUAGCUUUAAAUUAUAAUUUUUAUUAUGGUUGACCUCAAAUCAGCUAAGGAUACCCGCUGAACUUAAGCAUAUCAAUAAGCGGAGGA